Molecule: long non-coding RNA, 696 nt
Filed under: Fukomys damarensis (Damara mole-rat)
Lineage: Eukaryota; Metazoa; Chordata; Mammalia; Rodentia; Bathyergidae
Description: lncRNA (ENSFDAG00000030532.1)
Source: RNAcentral
GUCCACAACCCAGCAUUCUGGAACUCCCCAGAGGUGCACAGCCUUCGCUCACCUGCCCAGCACACAGUGAGCAAAUGCCUGGCCCCUGUCCUGGCUCAUCUGGCAUCCUGAAAUGCCACCAGAGAAUGGGCACUGCAGAGGGGCUGCUUCUCCUGCUCUGCUUGCCUUGGCGGAUUCUCCUGACCCCCUGGAAUCCCUUAGGAGAUGACAAGGCGGGGGAGAUGCACCUGUGUUCACCAGUACAAUGUGGGUGGUGACACAGUGUCCCACACAAGGUCACCAGCACAAGGGAAGCCAGCCAUGAAGCCCACAGCCCAGCAACUUGGCUCAGCAUGGUACUUGGGCCAAGGGUGUAGGGUGUGGCCGGAGGCGACUACUGUGAUGGCUGACAAGGAAAACCAGAAAGCCCGUGCUUCAUUCCCACAUUUUAGACAUCCUUUCCAUCAUCACCAUCAGCGCUGUCUUCACCACCAUCCCCAUCAUCAUCGUCGUCGUCAUCAUUAUCACCACUGUCAGUGCCAUAACUAUCAUCACCAUCACCAGCAGUACUACCGCCGUCACUACUAUCACUGCCCCACCUCUACAUGACCAUAUCCAUCAUGCUCGUCACCGCCAUCACACUUAUGGUCACCAUCAUCAUCACUGUCAUCUUGUGAUUGGUGUUGUGUUUUAACACGAUACAUCAGGAGACCCCUG